This is an RNA transcript of Onychostoma macrolepis, 4838 nucleotides long. It is a transcript of the gene named gastrula zinc finger protein XlCGF26.1-like, with no coding region annotated. The record is from RefSeq and is a predicted model, not a curated record. NCBI's taxonomy places the organism in Eukaryota, Metazoa, Chordata, Actinopteri, Cypriniformes, Cyprinidae. The transcript has 4 exons.
CAUGCUAAUAAUUGUGGAAAUGCUUUAUCGUAUGCAUAUAAUAGACAUCAGAGUAGAAACGGGACUUUUAUUUUGGUCUGGCGAUGUGACGUCAUAAAGCCGCGCCCCUUCUAGCCUUAACCCGCGCCCCGAGUCUGAUGUGAUUCGGCUGAAGGAAGGACAAAGUGUCCAAACACACAGAAAAACUCCUGCUGAAGCGACUGAGAUCCAUGUGACACGCGAUUAUAAAGAUGGUGUUUAUUAAAGAUGAGAGUGAAGACAUGAAGAUUGAAGAAACUUUCAGUCUGAAACAUGAAGAUACUGAGGAACAAACAGACCUGAUGGAACUGAAAGAGGAGAAUCAAGAACAGAAUGAAACGGAAGAGAAAGAUCAGAAUGAGAAACAUCAUGAUUUCAAAACUGAAGAAAAAUCAAUUAGUUGCUCACUGACUGAAAAGACUUCCUCACCAAAAAAAGCUGAAAAAACCCAAAUGAGAAUUCAUACUGGAGAGAGACCAUUCACUUGCCAACAGUGUGGACAAGUUUUCAAUCAAAAAGGAUGCCUUAAAGUCCACAUGGAAAUUCACAUUGAAAAAAAAAAGUUAAUAUGCUCUAAGUGUGGAAAAUGUUUUACACGAAUAAAAAACCUUAGGACACACAUGAGAAUUCACACUGGAGUGAGACCUUACACCUGCUCUCAAUGUGGAAAUAAUUUUAUACGGAAAAAUCAUCUUAAUGCCCACAUGCGUAUUCACACUGGAGAGAAACCUUACACCUGCCAACUGUGUGGGAAGAGUUUCACACGAAAUGGAGGACUUACGACUCAUAUGAAAAUUCACAUUGAAAAGAAGCCAUUAAUAUGCUCUCAGUGUGGAAAGUGUUUUACACAGAAAAGAAGCCUUGAUGCCCACUUGAGAGUUCACACUGGAGAGAAGCCUUUCACCUGCCCUCAGUGUGGAAAGAGUUUCAGGCUCAAAGAAAGCCUAAGGGCUCACAUUAGAAUUCACACUGGAGAGAAUCCAUUCUCAUGUGAUCAGUGUGGAAAGAGUUACAGAUAUAAGAUAAACCUUAAUAAUCACAUGAAGAUUCACUCAAGAGAGAAGAGUUUUAAAUGUCAUCAGUGUGAAAGGAGUUUCACGGAGAGGGAACAUCUUAAGAAUCAUGUUAAAAUUCACAUCGGAGAAAAGCCUUUCAUGUGCCAUUACUGUGGAAAGAGUUGCUCAAAAAAAGCAAAACUCAAGAUUCACUUGAGAAUUCACACUGGAGAGAAACCUUUCACCUGCGAACAAUGUGGAAAGAGUUUCAGGGUUAAAGAAUGCCUUCAGGUUCACAAGGUAGUUCACACUGGAGAGAGACCUUACAAGUGUCCUCAGUGUGAGAAGAGUUUCACAUGUCAAAGUAGCAUGAUACGUCAUUUAAAAACUCAUUCUGGGAAGAAAUUGCCUUUUUCCUCAGAGUGACAAAGUUUGGAAAAAGGAACAAUUUCUAAAAUCAUCUGCAUAUUCAUUUUGGAAGACAUUCAUUUGUAGUCAUUGUAAUAACAUUUUUUGCCAUCACACAGAUACAUGUGAGAACCUGUUUAUGUUCUUUGUUGAAGAGUAUGACGAGAAAAUGCUGUGAAAUCAAGCGUUCAUGCUGCAGCUGAAUAUGGGCUACAUCUGAUUGUCACCUUCAUGCAUCCUGCUUCACCAUAAGGCUUUUUAUUUUCUUUUGUGCAUAUGUACUCUUGUGGCCAUUCCUGACUGUCUGCUGUAGUUUCAAAUACUGAACAGUUCUUCAGACUUAAUGCUUGCGUCGUUUAAAUGCAGUUGAUACUCCUGACACUUUACAUUGUGUAAAUGGCAGAAAGUCCUCUUAGUAGCUGCAAACAAACAAUAAACUAAAUUUUAUUCAAAUUUUAUUCGAAUGGGUUAAAGCAAGCAAAAAGCGCUCCCAUUACAAUGAAUGGAGCUGUAAUCACAUCAAUAUGUUCAUGAGUUCUAUACUGUAAUAAAAUCGAGUGCUGUCAAAUGAUUAAUCACAUCCAAAAUAAAAGUUUUUGUUUACAUAACAUAUGUGCAUGUACUGUGCAUAUUUAUUAUGUAUAUAUAAAUACACACAUACAGUAUAUAUUUUGAAAAUAUUUACAUGUAGAUAUUUCUAUUCAUGUAAUUAAUAUUAUAUAUAAAUACAGUGCUGGCCACUAAUAUUGGCACCCUUGGUAAAUAUGAGCAAAGGCAGCUGUGAAAAUAAAUCUGCAUAAUUUAUCUUCUUGAUCUUUCAUUCAAAAAAUUCUAAACUUUCAUUGAAGUAAAACGAUUGAAAGUUGGGGGAAACUCACAUUAUGAAAUAGAUGUUUUUCUCAAAUGCAUGUUGGCUACCAUUAUUGGCACCCCUAGAAAUUCUUAUGAGAAAAAUAUCUGUAGUAUUCAUUCAUAUGUACGUUUUGUUGCACACUGGGGUGACUGAAAUUGUCCAGUCAUGACUUCCUGUUCCACAGCAUUAUAAAUAUGAGGAACAUAAAGGCCAAAUUCCCUUAAUCAUCCAUCAAAAGGAGUAAAACCAAAGAAUAUAUUUCUCAUGUACAGAACAAGAUUGUUGAGCUUCACAAAAUAAAAAGUGGCUGUAAGAAAAUAGCUAAAACAGAAAAUCCCUAUUUCCACAAUCAGGGCAAUAAUUAAGAAGUUUCAAUCAACUAAAGAUGUUACAAAUCUGCCUGGAAGUGGACAUAUGUCUGUCUAUAUCGUCCUAAUGCACCGUGAGGAGGAGAGUUUGAGUGGCCAAAGCCUCUCCAAGGAUCACAGCCGGAGAACAGCAGAGAUUAGUUGAUCUUGGGGUCAGAAAGCCUAAAAAAAUGCCAUCAAUAAAAUGCACCUGUGUUCGUUGUCCAUAACAUAAGCCUGCCCAUACCAUAACCCCACCACUACCAUGGGCCACUCGAUCCACAUCAUUGACAUCAGCAAACCGCUCACCCACACGACGCUGUCUGCCAUCUGCCCUGUACAGUGAAAACCGGGAUUCAUCCAUGAAGAGAACACCUCUCCAUAUCGAAUGUGAACAUUUGUCCACUCAAGUCGGUUACGACGACGAACUGCAGUCAGGUCGAGACCCCGAUGAGGACGACGAGCAUGGAGAUGAGCUUCCCUGAGAUAGUUUCUGACAGUUUGUGCAGAAAUUCUUUGGUUAUGCAAACCGAUUGUUGCAGCAGCUGUCCGGGUGGCUGGUCUCAGACGAUCUUGGAGGUGAAGAUGCUGGAUGUGGAGGUCCUGGGCUGGUGUGGUAACAUGUGGUCUGCGGUUGUGAGGCCGGUUGGAUGUACUGCCAAAUUCUCUGAAACGCCUUUGGAGACGGCUUAUGGUUGAGAAAUGAACAUUCAUUUCACGGGCAACAGCUCUGGUGGACAUUCCUGCAGUCAGCGGAGCAUUGUAAAAUUAAUAGUCAGCUGGAACAAGUUCAGAAUAUGGACUGAGGUCCCCUACCUUCACCCAGGACCCGGUGAUAAACAGAAAAUCCAAGUCGUGAACUGUGAUAAAAUCAUAAAGGAUGAACGUCUUAUUUACCAGAGAGUGAGCGUUUAUCAGCACAAUCUUUGGGGAGCGUAGAAUAGUGCACGAAGCCGAUGCUUUGCUCAGAGGGCAGAGGUUAGCAGUAUUUGCACCCUCACAGCGCGGCCGGAUAAUGAUCCAAGAGUGGAGGUUUUCGGCUUGAACCAGUGAGUCAAGCGAAGCAGGAGUAGAAGCAGGGGGGUCCGUUGCGAUUUGCCUGAGCCAACGUGUCACUGGGGUUGGCCGAUCUAGCGCCGUAAAGCGGUCCAACACCUGUCCCGUGACCGAGGCAGAGAACUGAGUAGCGCCAAACAGCCAGCUCUCAUGAAGGUCUUAUUCUGAUGAUCACACCCCCGCGUUUUCCACGUCUUCUCCAACGCUUUCUUGGAGUAGUGUCCAGAGGUACUCACCAGAGGAAAGCCGGGACGUCCCGCAAGAGAGUCCCAUGUGUGUGGCCGUCGAAAUUACCCAAUUUCGCAUCCAGUACGCCUACACAGGAACUACGAAUGUCCAGUAGAGUCUGAUGAUCAUACGUGAGAGACUCAACAUAGUUGUUGGGCAGCAGGGCAAUAAAUACAACCAAGCAAUAAACAGAGUCGAGAGCAGCAGACGGCUCGCCAUGUACACAGGCGCCAUCUUUAGUCAGAAAGUAAUGGAGCAUUCUCAAAGAACAAAAAGAAGGAAAAUAGCUGCAAAAGUGGCUGAACAUUUCCGUCUCGUUUCACAGCAGAUUGACCAACCACUGCAUUUUAAUUUGGAAUCUGCUUAUGGUGAACCAUUGGAGAAUGAUCCUUUGGAGAUCUAUCAUGAUUCUGUCGCGGAUGUUUCACAGAAUGUAGAAAAUUAAUACACCACAGACAUUUUUAUGAUGCUUGGGACGAUGACAUAUUCAAUGAUUUUGAAAAUGGGAUGCCUGCUGAUGCCAGUGACUUUGACUUGGACUUUGAAUGUUCAGAUUCAGAGGAUGCUGUUUCUGAGAAAUUAGAUGAUACACGUGGACUUGCAGAGUGGGCUGCAGAAUACAACAUAUCACAAAAUGCGUUGUCUGCGCUUCUGAAAAUUCUCAAACAAAAAGGGCUUGAUUUGCCAGUGGAUGCUAGAACCCUAAUGUGCACAGAACGCAAGUGUAAUGUGAAAAAUUAAUAAAUGUACAAUACAAAUGUUAAUGUACAAAAAAAAAAUUCACAAACAUUAAUUCAAUGUUCAAGUCAUUAAAAAAAAUCCUGAAAUUGUAUUAUUUGUCAUUUAUAUAAAAUAGCAAUAAAUACAUGUGCAUGAAGUUGUUAUUUGUGUCCAUGCUUACUAGUUACUCACCACUACUGUAGUUUCUUAUUU